RNAcentral lists this ribosomal RNA (492 nucleotides) under uncultured bacterium. Its description in RNAcentral is "partial 16S ribosomal RNA". It matches the Rfam family "Bacterial small subunit ribosomal RNA", at positions 29 to 507 of the family's 1533-position model. The record is from RNAcentral.
AGUGAACGCUGGCGGUAGGCCUAACACAUGCAAGUCGAACGGCAGCACAGUAAGAGCUUGCUCUUACGGGUGGCGAGUGGCGGACGAGUGAGGAAUACAUCGGAAUCUACUUUUUCGUGGGGGAUAACGUAGGGAAACUUACGCUAAUACCGCAUACGACCUACGGGUGAAAGCAGGGGAUCUUCGGACCUUGCGCGAUUGAAUGAGCCGAUGUCGGAUUAGCUAGUUGGCGGGGUAAAGGCCCACCAAGGCGACGAUCCGUAGCUGGUCUGAGAGGAUGAUCAGCCACACUGGAACUGAGACACGGUCCAGACUCCUACGGGAGGCAGCAGUGGGGAAUAUUGGACAAUGGGCGCAAGCCUGAUCCAGCCAUACCGCGUGGGUGAAGAAGGCCUUCGGGUUGUAAAGCCCUUUUGUUGGGAAAGAAAAGCAGCAGGUUAAUACCCCGCUGUUCUGACGGUACCCAAAGAGUAAGCACCGGCUAACUUCGUG